GUGCCAGCAGCCGCGGUAAUACGAAGGGGGCUAGCGUUGCUCGGAAUUACUGGGCGUAAAGGGAGCGUAGGCGGACAUUUAAGUCAGGGGUGAAAUCCCGGGGCUCAACCUCGGAAUUGCCUUUGAUACUGGGUGUCUUGGGUAUGAGAGAGGUGUGUGGAACUCCGAGUGUAGAGGUGAAAUUCGUAGAUAUUCGGAAGAACACCAGUGGCGAAGGCGACACACUGGCUCAUUACUGACGCUGAGGCUCGAAAGCGUGGGGAGCAAACAGGAUUAGAU
Molecule: ribosomal RNA, 279 nt
Filed under: uncultured Caulobacterales bacterium
Lineage: Bacteria; Pseudomonadati; Pseudomonadota; Alphaproteobacteria; Caulobacterales
Description: partial 16S ribosomal RNA
Rfam family: Bacterial small subunit ribosomal RNA
Source: RNAcentral